Molecule: long non-coding RNA, 613 nt
Organism: Juglans microcarpa x Juglans regia
Lineage: Eukaryota; Viridiplantae; Streptophyta; Magnoliopsida; Fagales; Juglandaceae
Exons: 3
Source: RefSeq, a predicted model, not a curated record
UUUCCAUUUUGCCCCUGCUUUUCAAUUCGUCUUCCCAUUUUGUCCCUUGGCUGUCUUCCUGAUCUCGUCUUGUUUUCCCACGCUGUGCAUUUCUAAUUCGGUUUCUUGUCUUCUUCUCCAGAACCUUCCAUCCUUCAGUUUUCGAGAGCUUUUUCUUAUCUUCUUCUCGAGAGCCUUCGAUCAUUCAGCUUCUCGAAAUCUCAUUCUUUGCUUCCGAAUCUCCUUUCCUAUGAUUUUUAAUUUUUUUUUGUUUUCCACCGCUUUCACCCUCUUAUCAGAUUCUGAAUUUUGCUUAUUUUUUUCCUCACCGCCUUCACCGCUUGCCGCUUGGUAUAAGAGUGACUUUCAUCUUCUUUGGUUGCGGUCUAUAUUUCUCUCUCAACUCAGACCCCCUCUCUUUUCUCUGCAUUUUUUUCUCCAUUUUUCAGUUUUUUUGCUCCCCCCCACGCCUCCUCUGCUCUCCCCAACCGAUUUCUCUCCAUUUUUCUGCUCACACACCUAAAGGCACGGAGCAAAAGCUCACCGCCGAUCUCUGAAAGAAGCUUCAAGAAAUGACGCCGAUCAUAUUUUUUCCUAAUCUUUUUUAUUAUUUUCUUUUAUUUCAGAAAUAAUA